RNA transcript from Raphanus sativus (radish), 1354 nucleotides. It is a transcript of the gene named PH, RCC1 and FYVE domains-containing protein 1-like, with no coding region annotated. NCBI's taxonomy places the organism in Eukaryota, Viridiplantae, Streptophyta, Magnoliopsida, Brassicales, Brassicaceae. The record is from RefSeq and is a predicted model, not a curated record. The transcript is spliced from 5 exons.
AUUGACGCCGCUUCUUCUUCUCCAUCGAAGCUGCUCUCUUCUCUUCUCCUUUGAGCUUUCUCUUCUCCUUUGAGCUUUCUCUACAGACGCAUCUGGAGCUCUCUCCAUCUCCAACCUCUCUCAAGCUCGCUCUCCAUCUCUCUCAAACUCUCGAUCCUCUCUCCAUCUCGCACGAUCUCGAGCUCUCCAUCUCCAACCUCUCUCAAGCUCGCUCUCCAUCUCCAACGCAUCUCAAGCUCGCUCGAGCUCUUCAUCUCCAACGCAUCUCAAGCUCGCUCUCCACUUCUCGACCCUCUCUCCAUCAAGCUUCGUCUCGUCUCUCACACCAUCUCCAGAGCUCUCUCUCUCGAUCUCAAACCCAGUGUUGCAGAACUUGAAUGAGAUUAUAGCCUCACGAACUUGCUUUGUCUCAGGCUCUCCACCUCUCGACCCUCUCUCCAUCAAGCUUCGUGCAUCUCCUUCAAGGACUCUGCUUGUCGCUGCUUCGGUAAUUUUCAGGAGCUACUAAAAAUAAAGCCUUAUGAGAAGGUUUACGCUCGAGCCAAGCUUCGUGUUCCUAAUCAACGUCAAUCCAAUAAUGAUGUGGUUGGUCAACGCAAUCAUUGCCCUGGAAAAGGGAGCUUACUUGCUUAAGUAUGGAAGAAGAGGGAAGCCUAAGUUCUGCCCUUUUCGCCUUUCUAAUGAUGAAACUGUUUUGAUAUGGUUCUCCGGUAAGGAGGAGAAACAUCUGAAGCUAAGCCAUGUUUCUAGGAUCAUUUCUGGACAACGCACUGUAAGCUGAGAGCCGUGUUUCUUUCUUGCCCUCUUUUAUGCAACUUUUCAUGUGACAGUUUCCUUAGUCUGAGGAGAGUGCAUAUUUGUGCCUUACGGUGAUAUUAUUCUGAUAUCUAGCAUUUGUGGCUCUUUUGUAGCCUAUUUUUCAAAGGUAUCCUCGUCCCGAGAAGGAAUAUCAGUCUUUUUCACUUAUAUAUAGCGAGAGGUCUUUGGAUGUGGAUUUUCUUUGGUAGAUCUGCAAGGAUAAAGAUGAGGCUGAAGUGUGGUUUAGUGGUCUUAAAGCCUUGAUUUCGCGUUACCAUCAAAGAAAUAGGAGGACUGAAUCAAGAAGUGAUGGGACACCAUCUGAAGCUAACAGCCCAAGGACAUAUACCCGGAGAAGCUCUCCUUUGCGCUCUCCAUUUAGCAGCGAUGACAGUUUGCAGAAGGUUUUAGAAAAAGUUUUCUGUGUACACUUUUGUGAAUUUUAUUGUAAUUUUUUAUCAACCAACUUAAUUUCAUGUUCUUUUAUCUGUAAAACAUAUUUGCCUUAUUUGUUUGAAGUGAUAAUUUCAAAAAUUAAAUGUAUGAUUUUAUCAUA